UUGAUCCCUGGCUCAGGAUGAACGCUAGCGGCAGGCUUAACACAUGCAAGUCGAGGGGUAUAGGUCUUCGGACCAAGAGACCGGCGCACGGGUGCGUAACGCGUAUGCAAUCUACCUUUUGCAGAGGGAUAGCCCAGAGAAAUUUGGAUUAAUACCUCAUAGUAUAGCAGUUUCGCAUGAAACCACUAUUAAAGUCACAACGGCAAAAGAUGAGCAUGCGUCCCAUUAGCUAGUUGGUAAGGUAACGGCUUACCAAGGCUACGAUGGGUAGGGGUCCUGAGAGGGAGAUCCCCCACACUGGUACUGAGACACGGACCAGACUCCUACGGGAGGCAGCAGUGAGGAAUAUUGGACAAUGGGCGCAAGCCUGAUCCAGCCAUGCCGCGUGCAGGAUGACGGUCCUAUGGAUUGUAAACUGCUUUUGUACAGGAAGAAACACUCCCUCGUGAGGGAGCUUGACGGUACUGUAAGAAUAAGGAUCGGCUA
This 486-nucleotide ribosomal RNA is filed under the name Flavobacterium sp. CL1.92. RNAcentral describes it as "bacterial SSU rRNA". It matches the Rfam family "Bacterial small subunit ribosomal RNA", at positions 13 to 499 of the family's 1533-position model. The record is from RNAcentral. Lineage: Bacteria; Pseudomonadati; Bacteroidota; Flavobacteriia; Flavobacteriales; Flavobacteriaceae.